AGUAAAAUAGUACGUGAAAUUGUUGAAAGGGAAACGAUUGAAGUCAGUCGUACCGACGAGAAAUCAGCUCUUCGAGUGCGAAGUUGUGGGCGUGUGAGAGUCUUUAACCGGGCCUCGCUGUUUGCAAUUUUGUGCUUUUUGGGUGUACUUUUUCGUAUGGUAGGCCAACGUCAGUUUUGAUUACCGUAAAAUGAUCGGAGGAAUGUAGCUUCGAUCUCGUAUUGAAGUGUUAUAGCCUCUGGUAGAUGCGGUGACCGAAACUGAGGAUUGCAACGAAUACCCUUUUGGGCUAUCCGUCUGGCCUCUGAAAGUUGCUUAGGUGCCGAAAGCGUGCUUACGGCUAUUUAAGUUGACGGUCAACAGGUUAGAACGUGAUUACAUUCGUUAAGGACGUUGGCGUAAUGGCUUUAAA
This 412-nucleotide unclassified non-coding RNA is filed under the name uncultured Funneliformis. RNAcentral describes it as "sequence contains 28S rRNA gene". The record is from RNAcentral. Lineage: Eukaryota; Fungi; Glomeromycota; Glomeromycetes; Glomerales; Glomeraceae.